UAUUAUAUUUUAACUCCUAACGCUAUAGAAUGCUUGGUCGAGAAGGAAACCAAGAAACAUUACUCAUUUGUAAACGCUAUAUAGAAACCGACCAAUAAUAGUUUUUUAUAAAUUAGAUUGAGAAAGAUAUUAAGAUGGGUUUGCAGAAUUUCAUUAGUAUAAUUGUAAUUGUGAAUCAUUUCCAAGUGGAUUCGUCUAUAACUUCCACCAUUCUUCACUGUUUAAACUAUAGGGGCAAAACCCAGUAUAACUGUAUCAGAAGAAAAGAUAAGGCCUUGGGCUUGGCGUGGGUCUGCCCUCCAUUGAAAGUGACAUUUUUUUAUUAUUCAAUUUCUUGAUGUGAGAUCCAGGAGAGAGACUAGAAUUCAAGUAAGCGAAAGAGAGAAUCAGCAAAAUAUUGAAAUAUUAUAUAUAAAUUCUUGGUGGGAAUUCGUCAGUGAAGAUGAUAAUAAGUUAUCCAGGCCUUUCAAAGCUCAAAACCAAGGAGGUAUGUGCUGUUUAUUUACACCUUUAUACGUAUGUUUCUUGAUGCUUUCAGUUUAAGAGAAAAUAUUGAAUUCUUGGAGUGAGCAAUUUUGUAUUAUCUCAGACUUUCAUGUUUAAAUUUAGAUAUUUCUAAUGGAAGUACAUAAGGAGUUGUUAUAUCUUUAUUUUGUGGUUGUUUAUCAAUUCAAAUUUGAAUGAAAUCAUUUUAAUUUUACCAAAAAUUCUGCUACCAAACUGGCCUAAUUUUAGCAAGUGAACGCAAUGAAAUAAUUGCAGCGACAUAUUUGUUUAUAUUGUACAGUGUGUCACUUCAAAGUUCCCAACUUUUGGUUGUUAUGGUAAUAAGUUGCUCUGAAUUAUACUAGUAAAAAAA
Molecule: long non-coding RNA, 859 nt
Filed under: Olea europaea (common olive)
Lineage: Eukaryota; Viridiplantae; Streptophyta; Magnoliopsida; Lamiales; Oleaceae
Description: long non-coding RNA (OEUR_LNC010165)
Source: RNAcentral